CGGCGCACGGGUGAGUAACGCGUAUGCAACCUUCCUUUAACUGGGGGAUAGCCCGGAGAAAUUCGGAUUAAUACCCCAUAACAUCAUAGAAAGGCAUCUUUCAGUGAUUAAAGCUCCGGCGGUUAAAGAUGGGCAUGCGUGCCAUUAGCUAGUUGGUGAGGUAACGGCUCACCAAGGCUACGAUGGUUAGGGGGUCCGAGAGGAUGAUCCCCCACACUGGUACUGAGACACGGACCAGACUCCUACGGGAGGCAGCAGUGAGGAAUAUUGGGCAAUGGGCGCAAGCCUGACCCAGCCAUGCCGCGUGAAGGAUGAAUGCCCUAUGGGUUGUAAACUUCUUUUGUACGGGACGAAACUCCUGGUCGUGACCGGGAUUGACUGUACCGUGCGAAUAAGCAUCGGCUAACUCCGUGCCAGCAGCCGCGGUAAUACGGAGGAUGCAAGCGUUAUCCGGAUUCAUUGGGUUUAAAGGGUGCGUAGGCGGAAUAGUAAGUCAGUGGUGAAAGCCUGCGGCUUAACCGUAGAAAUGCCAUUGAUACUGUUAUUCUUGAGUAUAGUUGAGGUGGGCGGAAUGUGUAAUGUAGCGGUGAAAUGCUUAGAUAUUACACAGAACACCAAUUGCGAAGGCAGCUCACUAAGCUGUUACUGACGCUGAGGCACGAAAGCGUGGGGAGCAAACAGGAUUAGAUACCCUGGUAGUCCACGCCGUAAACGAUGAUCACUCGUUGUUGGCGAUACACCGUCAGCGACUGAGCGAAAGCAAUAAGUGAUCCACCUGGGGAGUACGGCGGCAACGCUGAAACUCAAAGGAAUUGACGGGGGCCCGCACAAGCGGAGGAACAUGUGGUUUAAUUCGAUGAUACGCGAGGAACCUUACCUGGGCUUGAAAGGGAUUGACCUCCCGGGAAACC
Molecule: ribosomal RNA, 911 nt
Filed under: uncultured bacterium
Lineage: Bacteria
Description: bacterial SSU rRNA
Rfam family: Bacterial small subunit ribosomal RNA
Source: RNAcentral